AUUGAAAGCGAAAGUCUCCAGCUCCCCAUUUCGUGUAAGUGACUGUUACAAAUAAUUAACGUGUCCUUACACUGGGUGAGACGACACUCUACUGUCGACUGCAAAAAGUAGAAGAAUUAAGGGAAACAGCCAGACCUGUUGGUAUCGUCAGCUUUCCAGACACUGGGUGAGAGACCACGCUCCAAUGUCGACUGCAAAAGUUGAAGAAUUAAGGAAGCGAGUGCAGCAAACGACAGGCGUAGAAGUCAAUUCACCUGCCCUCGAUUCCUUUCAUUCUGUCACCUCGCCUUCUCAAACUGCAUUGGAGAAGGACCAUGGGGAGGGACUUCCAAUAAUGGAGGAUGAGAUGUGAUGUGAGGAAUCAAGGAAAGAUACAUUGUAAAAAAUCCCAGUACUGAAGGCUAUUUGAGGGCUAAUACUCAUAUGAAGGAGUGGAGGCUGGUGGAAGGAGCUAUAGGAGGACUGGCUCAUUGUAAUGGCUGGAAUGGAAUAAGUGGAACUGAGGCUAACAUGUGGUUUCCAUAUGUGUGAUGUGUUUGAUACCGUUCUAUUAAUUCCCUUCCAGCCAUUACAAUGAGCCUGUCCUCCUAUAGCUCCUGCCACAAGCCUCUACUAGGGGGAUAAGGGGGAUAUCUGGUGAAUAUGGAAUAUAUAAAAAAGGCCGGAGUUAAAUCUGACCAUUUUAAAGGCUAAAUGACCAACAUGUAAAUAUAUGUAGAGUCUAGUUGCAACUAAAUAACAGAUGUACUUGCUUGUAAUCCUCCUUGGAAGGUCAAUGAUGAGUUGCUUUGUAUCAUAAACAGUUAUUCAAUUCACAUUUUGGGAAACUGUGAUGUUUGUUCGUCCUUUCUUAAUUAUUCAUUUUUAUAUUAUAAUCACAUUCUAAUGUUCAAAAUUACCAUAACCUCCCACAACAAUGACCAGAGUUCAUUCACUUAUUGUUUAUCAGUUACAUCUUUUAUUAAAUGAUUUGGAACAUAUCAAAACAUUUUUAAUCAGUACAACAUUUCCAGUCAUAAUUAUAAUAAACAAUGAUGUAAUUAACAGGAUUUUUUUUUUAGUUGUCUUGAUUAUAAACUUUAUUAUAUAUUUUCCUCAUGAACAUGUAAACAAUCAUUAAGUUUUCCCCACCACAUUGUGUCCUUGUUCAGGACCGAGAACAGUACCAGAGAGAGAGAGAAAGGGUUAUAUAUGCAUCCUUGUAACAAUGGCUUCUAUGACAGCAUAAUUUUGGGGCAUUGAUGGCUAUUAAUUAUAUAAAGUAAUAAACACAUGUUUAAUCAUAGCAAAAA
Oncorhynchus masou masou (cherry salmon) is the source of this 1292-nucleotide long non-coding RNA. RefSeq lists it as uncharacterized. NCBI's taxonomy places the organism in Eukaryota, Metazoa, Chordata, Actinopteri, Salmoniformes, Salmonidae. The record is from RefSeq and is a predicted model, not a curated record. The transcript is spliced from 3 exons.